This is a long non-coding RNA of Cornus florida, 1323 nucleotides long. RefSeq lists it as uncharacterized. The record is from RefSeq and is a predicted model, not a curated record. Lineage: Eukaryota; Viridiplantae; Streptophyta; Magnoliopsida; Cornales; Cornaceae. The transcript is spliced from 7 exons.
UUUGUGGGAGCACUGGUAUUGGGUCUUUAGUAGCAGCAUUCUUAAAAGGAGUGCUGGUAUUGGGUCUUUUGUACCAACGCUCUUUUUAGGAGCGCUAGUAUUAAGUCUUUAGCCUUUUUUCCCUUCCCUCCUUUUUUUUUUUUUUUUUUCCUCUAUUUUUUUCCCUCCAUUGAUUUUGGGCCCUAAACUACUUCGUUUUUGAGAGCCAAUUAACACUUUAUUCCCCUUUCCCAUUUCAUUUUGCAAUAACCCUAACACCUUCAGCCGCUCUCCCUCCUUCCAUCACAACUCUCUCUCCCUUCCAUCACCGGUCUCGCCCUUCCAUCACUGGUCAUCACAGCUCUUUCCUUCCAUCACCGGUCAUCACAGCUCUUUCUCCUUCAAUCACCGGUCAGCGUUCCAAAACUGGUGGCUAGGUUUAGAGAGACAAAGUCACAUACACACAGAGAAAGAGUCAUCGAUGGGGGUUUCCAAAACCUAGUCUACACUAACAGAUCGGACGAGAAUUUUUUUAGUAGGAAAGUUACAAAGCCCUAGCUUUAUUUCUGCAGAGUCGGUAGACGACUCUCUUCGUGAAAUCCCUAGCUCCUUGCCCCCCGACCACUGGACAUCACGAAAGCCUUGGAUAGCUCCUUGCCUCCUCCUUACAGCUUUCUAAAGUCUAAACAAGGGAAUCUGUUGAUCUGAAAGUUUAAUUUGACUUCUCAUCAUGCCCUAAUUUGGAACGGAAUCCUUUGGUACUACCAACAAUAUCGCAAUCCAUGGCAUGACAGACACAUUAGCUGAGCAUUUGUUGGUUCGUUAUGACAUUAUCAUGUGUAGAUGAAUCUUCGUGUCCAUCUUCUGUCACAAUUCAUUUUUCCACCAUUAAAAUGUCAGGUGAAAGGAUAAAGAAUAAGCUUACAAUGAAAUGAACGGGUAGUGAAGUGGAAAAAGUGAGUGAACAAAAAGGGGGUGACGUGCUACUGAUGCUGCUGCUUCGGAGAUGAUUGGUUCUGAUUCUUUAAAUGCUCCUCUUAGACCUCCAAAUUCGUUUUCUAGUCAUGAUGCCAAUUCAGUUAAGGGUAAUUCAAAUCAAAUGGGCAAGAAGACUUGUUGAAGUUGAAGUUGAAGUUGAAGCUGAAGAUGGGGGAGUGGAUGUGCUUUUUGAAUUUCUUUCGCCGUGGAUGGGUUCUUUUUGAAAAACUUGUACUACAUUUGUCAAAAUUCUUAAUUCUUUUUAUGUGACAUUUAGUAGCUUUAUCUAGACAAUUUGGAUUGUAUCUUCAUAUUGGCAGGUUAACUUGUGGUUGUAUAACAUUUUCGCUUUUUGGUUGACAUUUA